GUCCUGGCUGUAAACGAUGGGCACUUGAUGUGGUGGGUACUGACCCCCGCCGUGUCGAAGCUAACGCGUUAAGUGCCCCGCCUGGGGAGUACGGUCUCAAGGCUGAAACUCAAAGGAAUUGACGGGGGCCCCGCACAAAGCGGUGGAGCAUGUGGUUUAAUUCGAUGCAACGCGAAGAACCUUACCUGGGUUUGAAUUGCUGGUUACAUCUCCAGAGAUGGAGCUUCCCUUCGGGGCACCAGUGAAGGUGUUGCAUGGCUGUCGU
RNAcentral lists this ribosomal RNA (265 nucleotides) under uncultured bacterium. Its description in RNAcentral is "partial 16S ribosomal RNA". It matches the Rfam family "Bacterial small subunit ribosomal RNA", at positions 793 to 1055 of the family's 1533-position model. The record is from RNAcentral.